RNAcentral lists this ribosomal RNA (253 nucleotides) under uncultured bacterium. RNAcentral's name for it is "partial 16S ribosomal RNA". It matches the Rfam family "Bacterial small subunit ribosomal RNA", at positions 524 to 776 of the family's 1533-position model. The record is from RNAcentral.
UACGUAGGUGGCAAGCGUUGUCCGGAUUUAUUGGGUUUAAAGGGUGCGUAGGUGGCCCUGUAAGUCAGUGGUGAAAUAUCUCAGCUUAACUGAGAGGGUGCCAUUGAUACUGCAGGGCUUGAGUACAGAUGAGGUAGGCGGAAUUGACGGUGUAGCGGUGAAAUGCAUAGAUAUCGUCAAGAACACCUAUAGCGAAGGCAGCUUACUAGGCUGUAACUGACGCUGAGGCACGAAAGUGUGGGGAUCAAACAGG